AACACUGUUAACCUGCGGUACCUGCGGAGGGAUCAUUACCGAGUUUACAACUCCCAAACCCCUGUGAACAUACCUAUACGUUGCCUCGGCGGAUCAGCCCGCGCCCCGUAAAAAGGGACGGCCCGCCCGAGGACCCCUAAACUCUGUUUUUAGUGGAACUUCUGAGUAAAACAAACAAAUAAAUCAAAACUUUCAACAACGGAUCU
This 206-nucleotide unclassified non-coding RNA is filed under the name soil metagenome. Its description in RNAcentral is "partial contains 5.8S ribosomal RNA, internal transcribed spacer 2, and large subunit ribosomal RNA". The record is from RNAcentral.